RNAcentral lists this ribosomal RNA (764 nucleotides) under uncultured bacterium. Its description in RNAcentral is "bacterial SSU rRNA". It matches the Rfam family "Bacterial small subunit ribosomal RNA", at positions 576 to 1339 of the family's 1533-position model. The record is from RNAcentral.
CGGUCUGUCGCGUCUGCUGUGAAAACCCGAGGCUCAACCUCGGGCCUGCAGUGGGUACGGGCAGACUAGAGUGUGGUAGGGGAGACUGGAAUUCCUGGUGUAGCGGUGGAAUGCGCAGAUAUCAGGAGGAACACCAAUGGCGAAGGCAGGUCUCUGGGCCACUACUGACGCUGAGGAGCGAAAGCAUGGGGAGGCGAACAGGAUUAGAUACCCUGGUAGUCCAUGCCGUAAACGGUGGGCACUAGAUGUGGGGCUCUUUCCAUGAGUUCCGCGUCGCAGCUAACGCAUUAAGUGCCCCGCCUGGGGAGUACGGCCGCAAGGCUAAAACUCAAAGGAAUUGACGGGGGCCCGCACAAGCGGCGGAGCAUGCGGAUUAAUUCGAUGCAACGCGAAGAACCUUACCAAGGCUUGACAUAUACCCUCUAUCCCUAGAGAUAGGGAGUCCUUCGGGGGGGUAUACAGGUGGUGCAUGGUUGUCGUCAGCUCGUGUCGUGAGAUGUUGGGUUAAGUCCCGCAACGAGCGCAACCCUCGUCCUAUGUUGCCAGCACGUAAUGGUGGGGACUCAUAGGAGACUGCCGGGGUCAACUCGGAGGAAGGUGGGGAUGACGUCAAAUCAUCAUGCCCCUUAUGUCUUGGGCUUCACGCAUGCUACAAUGGCCGGUACAAUGGGCUGCGAUACCGUAAGGUGGAGCGAAUCCCAAAAAGCCGGUCUCAGUUCGGAUUGAGGUCUGCAACUCGACCUCAUGAAGUUGGAGUCGCUAGU